Molecule: ribosomal RNA, 538 nt
Filed under: Meyerozyma caribbica
Lineage: Eukaryota; Fungi; Ascomycota; Pichiomycetes; Serinales; Debaryomycetaceae
Description: LSU rRNA
Rfam family: Eukaryotic large subunit ribosomal RNA
Source: RNAcentral
AAACCAACAGGGAUUGCCUUAGUAGCGGCGAGUGAAGCGGCAAAAGCUCAAAUUUGAAAUCUGGCACCUUCGGUGUCCGAGUUGUAAUUUGAAGAUUGUAACCUUGGGGUUGGCUCUUGUCUAUGUUUCUUGGAACAGGACGUCACAGAGGGUGAGAAUCCCGUGCGAUGAGAUGCCCAAUCCUAUGUAAGGUGCUUUCGAAGAGUCGAGUUGUUUGGGAAUGCAGCUCUAAGUGGGUGGUAAAUUCCAUCUAAAGCUAAAUAUUGGCGAGAGACCGAUAGCGAACAAGUACAGUGAUGGAAAGAUGAAAAGAACUUUGAAAAGAGAGUGAAAAAGUACGUGAAAUUGUUGAAAGGGAAGGGUUUGAGAUCAGACUCGAUAUUUUGUGAGCCUUGCCUUCGUGGCGGGGUGACCCGCAGCUUAUCGGGCCAGCAUCGGUUUGGGCGGUAGGAUAAUGGCGUAGGAAUGUGACUUUGCUUCGGUGAAGUGUUAUAGCCUGCGUUGAUGCUGCCUGCCUAGACCGAGGACUGCGAUUUUA